This 331-nucleotide unclassified non-coding RNA is filed under the name soil metagenome. RNAcentral's name for it is "partial contains 5.8S ribosomal RNA, internal transcribed spacer 2, and large subunit ribosomal RNA". The stretch from base 1 to 120 matches the Rfam family "5.8S ribosomal RNA", at positions 35 to 154 of the family's 154-position model. The record is from RNAcentral.
GAUGAAGAACGCAGCGAAAUGCGAUAAGUAAUGUGAAUUGCAGUAUUCAGUGAAUCAUCGAAUCUUUGAACGCACAUUGCGCCCCCUGGUAUUCCGGGGGGCAUGCCUGUUCGAGCGUCAUUUCACCACUCAAGCCUCGCUUGGUAUUGGGCAACGCGGUCCGCCGCGUGCCUCAAAUCGACCGGCUGGGUCUUCUGUCCCCUAAGCGUUGUGGAAACUAUUCGCUAAAGGGUGUUCGGGAGGCUACGCCGUAAAACAACCCCAUUUCUAAGGUUGACCUCGGAUCAAGUAGGGAUACCCGCUGAACUUAAGCAUAUCAAUAAGCGGAGGA